Molecule: ribosomal RNA, 253 nt
Filed under: uncultured bacterium
Lineage: Bacteria
Description: partial 16S ribosomal RNA
Rfam family: Bacterial small subunit ribosomal RNA
Source: RNAcentral
UACGAAGGGGGCUAGCGUUGCUCGGAAUCACUGGGCGUAAAGGGCGCGUAGGCGGAUCGUUAAGUCAGAGGUGAAAGCCCAGGGCUCAACCCUGGAAUUGCCUUUGAUACUGGCGAUCUUGAGUACGGGAGAGGUGUGUGGAACUCCGGGUGUAGAGGUGAAAUUCGUAGAUAUUCGGAAGAACACCAGUGGCGAAGGCGACACACUGGCCCGUUACUGACGCUGAGGCGCGAAAGCGUGGGGAGCAAACAGG